GACGAACGCUGGCGGCGUGCCUAAUACAUGCAAGUUGAGCGAUGAAGAUUGGUGCUUGCACCAAUUUGAAGAGCAGCGAACGGGUGAGUAACGCGUGGGGAAUCUGCCUUUGAGCGGGGGACAACAUCUGGAAACGAAUGCUAAUACCGCAUAACAACUUUAAACAUAAGUUUUAAGUUUGAAAGAUGCAAUUGCCUCACUCAAAGAUGAUCCCGCGUUGUAUUAGCUAGUUGGUGAGGUAAAGGCUCACCAAGGCGAUGAUACAUAGCCGACCUGAGAGGGUGAUCGGCCACAUUGGGACUGAGACACGGCCCAAACUCCUACGGGAGGCAGCAGUAGGGAAUCUUCGGCAAUGGACGAAAGUCUGACCGAGCAACGCCGCGGGAGUGAAGAAGGUUGUCGGAUCGUAAAACUCGGUUGGUAGAGAAGAACGUUGGUGAGAGUGGAAAGCUCAUCAAGUGACGGUAACUACCCAGAAAGGGACGGCUAACUACGUG
This 497-nucleotide ribosomal RNA is filed under the name uncultured bacterium. RNAcentral describes it as "partial 16S ribosomal RNA". It matches the Rfam family "Bacterial small subunit ribosomal RNA", at positions 28 to 507 of the family's 1533-position model. The record is from RNAcentral.